GCUCCGGUGUUCAUUCAUCUGGUCCUCCAGGGUCCGGCACAUCUUCUCCAGGUCCAUGAUGCUCUCCUGGGUCAGCUUCAGGUCACCCUCCAGCUUCCGCUUUGCUCGCUCCAGGUCCAUGCGCACCUUCUUCUCCUGCUCCAGGGAUCCCUCCAGAUCAUCCACUUGCUGCUCCAGCUUGACCUUGGCCUUGGUCAGAGUGUUGACCUUGUCCUCCUCAGCCUGAAGGUCAUCUAGGGCUUGCUGGUGGGCCUCUUGUAGAGCUUUCUUCUCCUUGGUCAGCUUGACAAUGAUCUCGUCCAGCCCAGCCAUCUCCUCUGUCAGGUUUUUCACCUUGUUCUCUGUUGCGUGCUUUUCCUUCUCCACCUUGGCCAGGGUCAGCUCCAGGUCAUCGAUAUCUCUC
This 403-nucleotide long non-coding RNA is filed under the name Rattus norvegicus (Norway rat). RNAcentral's name for it is "long non-coding RNA NONRATT010420". Lineage: Eukaryota; Metazoa; Chordata; Mammalia; Rodentia; Muridae. The record is from RNAcentral.